CGGCGGACGGGUAAGUAACACGUGGAUAACCUACCUAUAAGACUGGGAUAACUUCGGGAAACCGGAGCUAAUACCGGAUAAUAUAUUGAACCGCAUGGUUCAAUAGUGAAAGACGGUUUUGCUGUCACUUAUAGAUGGAUCCGCGUCGCAUUAGCUAGUUGGUAAGGUAACGGCUUACCAAGGCAACGAUGCGUAGCCGACCUGAGAGGGUGAUCGGCCACACUGGAACUGAGACACGGUCCAG
Molecule: ribosomal RNA, 244 nt
Filed under: uncultured Staphylococcus sp.
Lineage: Bacteria; Bacillati; Bacillota; Bacilli; Caryophanales; Staphylococcaceae
Description: partial 16S ribosomal RNA
Rfam family: Bacterial small subunit ribosomal RNA
Source: RNAcentral